RNAcentral lists this ribosomal RNA (484 nucleotides) under uncultured bacterium. RNAcentral describes it as "partial 16S ribosomal RNA". It matches the Rfam family "Bacterial small subunit ribosomal RNA", at positions 30 to 507 of the family's 1533-position model. The record is from RNAcentral.
AUUGAACGCUGGCGGCAGGCCUAACACAUGCAAGUCGAGCGGAUGAAGGGAGCUUGCUCCUGGAUUCAGCAGCGGACGGGUGAGUAAUGCCUAGGAAUCUGCCUGGUAGUGGGGGAUAACGUCCGGAAACGGGCGCUAAUACCGCAUACGUCCUGAGGGAGAAAGUGUGGGAUCUUCGGACCUCACGCUAUCCGAUGAGCCUAGGUCGGAUUAGCUAGUUGGUGGGGUAAAGGCCUACCAGGGCGACGAUCCGUAACUGGUCUGAGAGGCUGAUCAGUCACACUGGAACUGAGACACGGUCCAGACUCCUACGGGAGGCAGCAGUGGGGAAUAUUGGACAAUGGGCGAAAGCCUGAUCCAGCCAUGCCGCGUGUGUGAAGAAGGUCUUCGGAUUGUAAAGCACUUUAAGUUGGGAGGAAGGGCAGUAAGUUAAUACCUUGCUGUUUUGACGUUACCAACAGAAUAAGCACCGGCUAACUUCGUG